RNAcentral lists this ribosomal RNA (1106 nucleotides) under Weissella confusa. RNAcentral's name for it is "bacterial SSU rRNA". It matches the Rfam family "Bacterial small subunit ribosomal RNA", at positions 30 to 1107 of the family's 1533-position model. Lineage: Bacteria; Bacillati; Bacillota; Bacilli; Lactobacillales; Lactobacillaceae. The record is from RNAcentral.
UGGAAUUUGCGGCUGCUAUACAUGCAGUCGAACGCUUUGUGGUUCAACUGAUUUGAAGAGCUUGCUCAGAUAUGACGAUGGACAUUGCAAAGAGUGGCGAACGGGUGAGUAACACGUGGGAAACCUACCUCUUAGCAGGGGAUAACAUUUGGAAACAGAUGCUAAUACCGUAUAACAAUGACAACCGCAUGGUUGUUAUUUAAAAGAUGGUUCUGCUAUCACUAAGAGAUGGUCCCGCGGUGCAUUAGCUAGUUGGUAAGGUAAUGGCUUACCAAGGCGAUGAUGCAUAGCCGAGUUGAGAGACUGAUCGGCCACAAUGGGACUGAGACACGGCCCAUACUCCUACGGGAGGCAGCAGUAGGGAAUCUUCCACAAUGGGCGAAAGCCUGAUGGAGCAACGCCGCGUGUGUGAUGAAGGGUUUCGGCUCGUAAAACACUGUUGUAAGAGAAGAAUGACAUUGAGAGUAACUGUUCAAUGUGUGACGGUAUCUUACCAGAAAGGAACGGCUAAAUACGUGCCAGCAGCCGCGGUAAUACGUAUGUUCCAAGCGUUAUCCGGAUUUAUUGGGCGUAAAGCGAGCGCAGACGGUUAUUUAAGUCUGAAGUGAAAGCCCUCAGCUCAACUGAGGAAUUGCUUUGGAAACUGGAUGACUUGAGUGCAGUAGAGGAAAGUGGAACUCCAUGUGUAGCGGUGAAAUGCGUAGAUAUAUGGAAGAACACCAGUGGCGAAGGCGGCUUUCUGGACUGUAACUGACGUUGAGGCUCGAAAGUGUGGGUAGCAAACAGGAUUAGAUACCCUGGUAGUCCACACCGUAAACGAUGAGUGCUAGGUGUUUGAGGGUUUCCGCCCUUAAGUGCCGCAGCUAACGCAUUAAGCACUCCGCCUGGGGAGUACGACCGCAAGGUUGAAACUCAAAGGAAUUGACGGGGACCCGCACAAGCGGUGGAGCAUGUGGUUUAAUUCGAAGCAACGCGAGAACCUUACCAGGUCUUGACAUCCCUUGACACUCAGAGAUGGAGUGUUCCCUUCGGGACAGUGACAGUGUGCAUGUGUCGUCAGCUCGUGUCGUGAGAUGUUGGUUAGUCCCGCACGAGCGCCACCCUAU